Molecule: non-coding RNA, 62 nt
Filed under: unclassified sequences
Description: RAGATH-18 RNA
Rfam family: RAGATH-18 RNA
About the family: Actinobacteria, Firmicutes, Fusobacteria, Thermotogae (1 example). Nearby to self-cleaving ribozyme genes
Source: Rfam by way of RNAcentral
CCUGUGGAGCGUUACACCAAAUGCAAGUAGCUACGGCAAACGCAGACGCUUUGAAACAGGAA